Molecule: ribosomal RNA, 257 nt
Filed under: uncultured bacterium
Lineage: Bacteria
Description: partial 16S ribosomal RNA
Rfam family: Bacterial small subunit ribosomal RNA
Source: RNAcentral
UACGUAGGGACCAAGCGUUGUCCGGAAUCAUUGGGCGUAAAGCGCGCGUAGGUGGCCAUUUAAGUCCGCUGUGAAAGUCAGAGGCUCAACCUUUGAAAGCCGGUGGAUACUGGAUGGCUAGAGUACGGAAGAGGCGAGUGGAAUUCCUGGUGUAGCGGUGGAAUGCGCAGAUAUCAGGAGGAACACCAAUAGCGAAGGCAGCUCGCUGGGGACGUGACUGACGCUGAGACGCGAAAAGCGUGGGGGAGCAAAACAGG